Triticum aestivum (bread wheat) is the source of this 137-nucleotide non-coding RNA. Lineage: Eukaryota; Viridiplantae; Streptophyta; Magnoliopsida; Poales; Poaceae. The record is from Rfam.
AUAGUACUCCCUCCGUCCCAAAAUUCUUGUCUUAGAUUUGUCUAGAUAUGGAUGUACCUAUAAUACUAAAACGUGACUUGAUACAUCCGCAUUUGGACAAAUCUAAGACAAGAUUUUUAGGACGGAGGGAGUACCAG